RNAcentral lists this long non-coding RNA (1294 nucleotides) under Cyanistes caeruleus (blue tit). RNAcentral's name for it is "lncRNA (ENSCCEG00000006129.1)". Lineage: Eukaryota; Metazoa; Chordata; Aves; Passeriformes; Paridae. The record is from RNAcentral.
UCAGGUUAAAUCUCAUCACUAAUUAUUUGUGUAUGGAAAAAUAUAUUAGCUCCAGAGGAAGAUCCUAAAAGUUCACCACAGAAGAGUUGGGCUGCUGAUGUCUAGUCAGUGCUACUAGCCCUGAAACCAUGAAGUCUAUUCUUCAUGGUUGGAAUUGUAUUUCUACCUGGAAUGACAUCUGUACAUAUCUUCCUGGAUGGCAGAGACUGCAGCACUGCCAGGCUCAACCAAGAGGCAGAUAAAAAACCAUACAAAAACCAAGGAAACACAGUAGCUGGUGCAGCAGAAGAGCUUUUGAGGAGGAUGAGGCAGGAACAGCUCUCAGACCAGGCUGCAGCCGCCUCUGGCUCCACUGGACUCAAAGGUGCAAUGGCAGCAGCAUCCAAAAUCUGCCAUCACAAGUGAUGAAACAUGUUUGUGACACUGAGCCUUGAUUUCCAUGAAAGUCUGAAAAAGUAAGGUAUGGAGGCACAACAAAGCAAGAAUCUAAGCAGCUUGGAAGAUGAUUUCCAAGAAAUACUGUGCAGGAACUCAUAAAUAAUAAAGACUUGCUAGUAAUCAAAAAACAGAGAGAUAGAACAAACUUUUGUCUUCUUGUAAACUGACACGACAAUGAUCCAUCAAAUCAUGGUUCUGCUGUGAUGGGCACAGCCUUGUUCCUGCAAACGUGAAAACCACUUGUGCAAGACUCUUCCACAAUUAAUUGUUACUGUCUAAUUGUAUGUUUGGGUUAUGACAUGUUUUCAUCUUCCUAUUGGCAUUUUUAAAAGCUGGAUUAUGAGCUAUGAUGAGAACAGCUAAUCCUUUACCUUCAGAAAUCCAAAAGUCUGAAAAAGGGGGAGGAGGCAACAGCUGGUUCUUUCUUGGGUUCCUACCAACACAGCAAGAUGGAACUUCUCCUGGCCAUUUUUCUCACCGUUUUGACUGGUAUUGUGGCAAUUGCUUUCUAUUAUGAGCACCCCAAAGCAGAAAUUCCUCAUGAAAUGAGUGAGCGCCAAAAGCUUUAUGCUCUUCAUUACUGCAUGAACUUUGGGCUUGGUCUGGCAACAUUUUUGGAUAAAGUAGGUGUCAUCUCAGAGGUCCAUCUCCUCAGGGUUAUAAUGGAGACAAUACCACCAUUAAAGGAUACACGUCUUCUUAUCAAGGACUUAAGGUUUGAAAGGGUUAAAGUGAGAAUUUACCAGCUAAAAACAUCAAACAAUAGCCAAAGAAGGGGAAUCCUUUAUUUUCAUGGAGGAGUUGGCCGGCUUGGAAGUAUCCGUAAGUAAUAUAAAUAAAAUGAGCUGUAACUGCA